CACUCCUACGGGAGGCAGCAGUGGGGAAUUUUGGACAAUGGGCGAAAGCCUGAUCCAGCAAUGCCGCGUGCAGGAUGAAGGCCUUCGGGUUGUAAACUGCUUUUGUACGGAACGAAAAAGCUCCUUCUAAUACAGGGGGCCCAUGACGGUACCGUAAGAAUAAGCACCGGCUAACUACGUGCCAGCAGCCGCGGUAAUACGUAGGGUGCGAGCGUUAAUCGGAAUUACUGGGCGUAAAGCGUGCGCAGGCGGUUAUGUAAGACAGAUGUGAAAUCCCCGGGCUCAACCGGGGAACUGCAUUUGUGACUGCAUGGCUAGAGGACGGUAGAGGGGGAUGGAAUUCCGCGUGUAGCAGUGAAAUGCGUAGAUAUGCGGAGGAACACCGAUGGCGAAGGCAAUCCCCUGGACCUGUACUGACGCUCAUGCACGAAAGCGUGGGGAGCAAACAGGAUUAGAUACCCCAGUAGUCCCA
RNAcentral lists this ribosomal RNA (472 nucleotides) under uncultured organism. RNAcentral's name for it is "partial 16S ribosomal RNA". It matches the Rfam family "Bacterial small subunit ribosomal RNA", at positions 334 to 797 of the family's 1533-position model. The record is from RNAcentral.